RNAcentral lists this ribosomal RNA (636 nucleotides) under uncultured Alphaproteobacteria bacterium. RNAcentral's name for it is "bacterial SSU rRNA". It matches the Rfam family "Bacterial small subunit ribosomal RNA", at positions 55 to 738 of the family's 1533-position model. The record is from RNAcentral. Lineage: Bacteria; Pseudomonadati; Pseudomonadota; Alphaproteobacteria.
AUGCAAGUCGAACGAUCCCUUCGGGGAUAGUGGCGCACGGGUGCGUAACGCGUGGGAAUCUGCCCUUGGGUUCGGAAUAACUUCUGGAAACGGAAGCUAAUACCGGAUGAUGACGUAAGUCCAAAGAUUUAUCGCCCAAGGAUGAGCCCGCGUAGGAUUAGCUAGUUGGUGAGGUAAAGGCUCACCAAGGCGACGAUCCUUAGCUGGUCUGAGAGGAUGAUCAGCCACACUGGGACUGAGACACGGCCCAGACUCCUACGGGAGGCAGCAGUAGGGAAUAUUGGACAAUGGGGGAAACCCUGAUCCAGCAAUGCCGCGUGAGUGAUGAAGGCCUUAGGGUUGUAAAGCUCUUUUACCCGGGAUGAUAAUGACAGUACCGGGAGAAUAAGCUCCGGCUAACUCCGUGCCAGCAGCCGCGGUAAUACGGAGGGAGCUAGCGUUGUUCGGAAUUACUGGGCGUAAAGCGCACGUAGGCGGCUAUUCAAGUCAGAGGUGAAAGCCCGGGGCUCAACCCCGGAACUGCCUUUGAAACUAGAUAGCUUGAAUCCAGGAGAGGUGAGUGGAUUCCGAGUGUAGAGGUGAAAUUCGUAGAUAUUCGGAAGAACACCAGUGGCGAAGGCGGCUCACUGGACUGGU